GACGAACGCUGGCGGCGUGCUUAACACAUGCAAGUCGAACGGAGCACCCUUGACUGAGGUUUCGGCCAAAUGAUAGGAAUGCUUAGUGGCGGACUGGUGAGUAACGCGUGAGGAACCUACCUUCCAGAGGGGGACAACAGUUGGAAACGACUGCUAAUACCGCAUGACGCAUGACCGGGGCAUCCCGGGCAUGUCAAAGAUUUUAUCGCUGGAAGAUGGCCUCGCGUCUGAUUAGCUAGAUGGCGGGGUAACGGCCCACCAUGGCGACGAUCAGUAGCCGGACUGAGAGGUUGACCGGCCACAUUGGGACUGAGAUACGGCCCAGACUCCUACGGGAGGCAGCAGUGGGGAAUAUUGGGCAAUGGACGCAAGUCUGACCCAGCAACGCCGCGUGAAGGAAGAAGGCUUUCGGGUUGUAAACUUCUUUUGUCAGGGAAGAGUAGAAGACGGUAC
RNAcentral lists this ribosomal RNA (453 nucleotides) under uncultured bacterium. Its description in RNAcentral is "bacterial SSU rRNA". It matches the Rfam family "Bacterial small subunit ribosomal RNA", at positions 28 to 478 of the family's 1533-position model. The record is from RNAcentral.